UGUGGUGGCGAUAGCGAGAAGGAUACACCUGUAACCAUGCCGAACACAGAAGUUAAGCUUCUUAGCGCCGAUUGUAGUGAG
Molecule: ribosomal RNA, 81 nt
Filed under: Enterococcus faecium
Lineage: Bacteria; Bacillati; Bacillota; Bacilli; Lactobacillales; Enterococcaceae
Source: RNAcentral